GACAGGGUCUGACACUGUUGGGGCAGAUUGUGCCAAAAAAGUGUCAAAGGAAUGGAAAGUGUGUGCCCACCCCACCACCACACAACCCCACCCCUACACAAAACAAUGCACACACAAAAAACUAAAUAAAUGAAUAAACACGAGAGAGAGAGAGAGAGAGAGAGAGAGAGAGAGAGAGAGACGCUUAUGUAUGCAUGUGUACAAAUGGUUGUUUCCUAGACUUCUGCAAUAGACCUUUUGUCCCUAGUCUAUGGUGCACUCAGUCUAGUCUUUCCCAGUCUGGGGACAGAGUAGGUUGGCAGAGGUUGCAGGACUGAGGGAAGGCUGGGACCUGGGACCUGGGGCAGUGUAUCCCCUAUCUGGGCACCCAGGAACAGAAGAGAAACACCAGAACAGUGGGAGCUUCCCCCACGGUUUCUACAUUGUGGCCUCCUGGGCCGGACCCUGUGCUGAAAACUUCUUAGAGCUCGAGUAGCAGGGGUCAGUGGCACCUCGGGUAACCCAUCUUACAGAUCAAAAAGAAAAUGACCUUUGCCCCAAAGGCUUGAUUCUUUAUAGAAUGUAGCUAACUGAUCUGCCCAGCCAAGUACCCGGCUGCACAGCUGUGAUCCUCUCUAUCCCCAACCCCUGACCCCGAGAAGCAGAAGGACACCACCAUGGACUUACACAGUGGAGCCGAAUCUCUAAAUAAAUAUCUUCAAAAAAGUGUCUGCGACUUGGCUUUUGUAUAUAGACUUUGUGAAUUAAAAAGGGCACAGGUAUGUGUGUGCCUUCCUGGACAGCCAGAACCCAGGCAGUGGGAAUGGUGGCCUUUUUUACACUCUACAGAUGUCUAAUAUUCAAUUUUAAGGUUUUUGUAUUUUUUUCUAUGUAAACCUCCUUCACCUAUUCAAGUCUUCAGUAAAGUCUGCUGAAACACAGAU
RNAcentral lists this long non-coding RNA (923 nucleotides) under Rattus norvegicus (Norway rat). RNAcentral describes it as "long non-coding RNA NONRATT021867". The record is from RNAcentral. Lineage: Eukaryota; Metazoa; Chordata; Mammalia; Rodentia; Muridae.